This 49-nucleotide transfer RNA is filed under the name Fimbriaria sp. DTJL-2008. RNAcentral's name for it is "partial tRNA-Thr". The record is from RNAcentral. Lineage: Eukaryota; Metazoa; Platyhelminthes; Cestoda; Cyclophyllidea; Hymenolepididae.
UUUGUCUGUGUAGAUUAUAUAAAAUCAUGAUGCUGUUAACUUCAGGAAA